GGAAUUCGUUCGCUAGUAUGACCUACCUAAGUUUAUUUGGUAUUUAAUUGGUUGGUCAGAGUAUAGGGAUAAUAUAUGAUAUGUUAAUUAACCCUUGUUUUGUGGCAGUAUUUGAAAAUGGCAUCCGAAAAUGUUAAGAUAAGUAAUGAAGCACAUGAGACCGUUGAGUCACCAACGGUCAAUACCCAAGAUAAUGUGCAACAUGAAGAC
This 210-nucleotide long non-coding RNA is filed under the name Panax ginseng (ginseng). RNAcentral's name for it is "long non-coding RNA (PGIN_LNC013280)". Lineage: Eukaryota; Viridiplantae; Streptophyta; Magnoliopsida; Apiales; Araliaceae. The record is from RNAcentral.